This 251-nucleotide ribosomal RNA is filed under the name uncultured bacterium. RNAcentral describes it as "partial 16S ribosomal RNA". It matches the Rfam family "Bacterial small subunit ribosomal RNA", at positions 524 to 776 of the family's 1533-position model. The record is from RNAcentral.
UACGUAGGGUGCAAGCGUUGUCCGGAAUUAUUGGGCGUAAAGAGCUCGUAGGCGGUUGUCGCGUCUGCUGUGAAAACUCGGGGCUUAACCCCGGGCCUGCAGUGGGUACGGGCAGACUAGAGUGCGGUAGGGGAGACUGGAAUUCCUGGUGUAGCGGUGAAUGCGCAGAUAUCAGGAGGAACACCAACGGCGAAAGCACUCUGCUGGGCCGACACUGACACUGAGAGACGAAAGCUAGGGGAGCGAAUGGG